AGAACUACAGAAUCGAGAUAUGGAACGAUAGGGUAACGCCUUGAAACAUAUCCAUUAAUACUCCGACUGGCAUUUUGACGAAAGUUAGUUUGUCAGAAGCUCGGUGAAGUCGGCAGAAGUAGUCCUAAACAAACGAAAUAAUCGAAGUAAGAUUGGUACAAAAGCGGUCAGAACCCGCCUGUUGGAAAAGAUUAAAGUAGAACGCAUGGACUAUGAUAUGUCGGAUGUCUAUAAA
RNAcentral lists this non-coding RNA (235 nucleotides) under bovine gut metagenome. The record is from RNAcentral.